GGUUUAAUUCGAAGCAACGCGAAGAACCUUACCAGGUCUUGACAUCCCGAUGCUAUUUCUAGAGAUAGAAAGUUACUUCGGUACAUCGGUGACAGGUGGUGCAUGGUUGUCGUCAGCUCGUGUCGUGAGAUGUUGGGUUAAGUCCCGCAACGAGCGCAACCCCUAUUGUUAGUUGCCAUCAUUCAGUUUGGGCACUCUAGCGAGACUGCCGGUAAUAAACCGGAGGA
Molecule: ribosomal RNA, 227 nt
Filed under: uncultured bacterium
Lineage: Bacteria
Description: partial 16S ribosomal RNA
Rfam family: Bacterial small subunit ribosomal RNA
Source: RNAcentral